AUUGAACGCUGGCGGCAGGCCUAACACAUGCAAGUCGAGCGGAUGAAGGGAGCUUGCUCCUGGAUCCAGCGGCGGACGGGUGAGUAAUGCCUAGGAAUCUGCCUGGUAGUGGGGGAUAACGUCCGGAAACGGGCGCUAAUACCGCAUACGUCCUGAGGGAGAAAGUGGGGGAUCUUCGGACCUCACGCUAUCAGAUGAGCCUAGGUCGGAUUAGCUAGUUGGUGGGGUAAAGGCCUACCAAGGCGACGAUCCGUAACUGGUCUGAGAGGAUGAUCAGUCACACUGGAACUGAGACACGGUCCAGACUCCUACGGGAGGCAGCAGUGGGGAAUAUUGGACAAUGGGCGAAAGCCUGAUCCAGCCAUGCCGCGUGUGUGAAGAAGGUCUUCGGAUUGUAAAGCACUUUAAGUUGGGAAGAAGGGCAGUAAGUUAAUACCUUGCUGUUUUGACGUUACCAACAGAAUAAGCACCGGCUAACUUCGUG
Molecule: ribosomal RNA, 484 nt
Filed under: uncultured bacterium
Lineage: Bacteria
Description: partial 16S ribosomal RNA
Rfam family: Bacterial small subunit ribosomal RNA
Source: RNAcentral